UACGGAGGGUGCAAGCGUUAUCCGGAUUUACUGGGUUUAAGGGGUGCGUAGGUGGGUCUGUAAGUCAGUGGUGAAAUCUCCGAGCUUAACUCGGAAACUGCCAUUGAUACUAUAGGUCUUGUAUUAUCUGGAGGUAAGCGGAAUAUGUCAUGUAGCGGUGAAAUGCUUAGAUAUAACAUAGAACACCCAUUGCGAAGGCAGCUUACUACGGAUUGAUUGACACUGAGGCACGAAAGCGUGGGGAUCAAACAGG
Molecule: ribosomal RNA, 253 nt
Filed under: uncultured bacterium
Lineage: Bacteria
Description: partial 16S ribosomal RNA
Rfam family: Bacterial small subunit ribosomal RNA
Source: RNAcentral